CUCCUCCAUUCCGUUCCGAAUUUCCGCUCACGUUUUCCCAGUUUUCCAGCCCCCUCUCCGCCCCCCGCCCCGCUUUAUUGUUUAGGCCGUUUUUAUUGCGGCGGCAAGAGAGAAGGAAACUCCGGCAAGAAGACCAGCAAAACUGGAGCACAAGGAGGAGCACAAGGAGCAGCAGGAGGAGGAGCUGGAAUCCCCGUACAUAAUAUGAUAUCGGGGGACUGAACGUAUAUAUGUACAUACAUAUGUACUAUACUGUAUGCACCAGGGACGGAACAGCAAUCCGUCCAUUUUGCAUGCAAACGCAAUUUGAUAACGAGCGAACGUAUUAAUAUUAUUGGGCGCCAUUAUUUCACUGCCCGGCACACAGAAUGGCACCCCUCCAAAAGAGCUGCUCAGCCACCCAUGUGCUUUCCCCAAAACCCCCAUCCUGCAACCCCCAUCCUGCAACCCCAAUCCCCAAUCACCGAAAUACCGGGACAAAAAAUGAUGGACAUUUGAAGCUGGCAGGCAAAAGAAGCAAGAAGAAGGCUGAAUCUACUUUGCACGUUUUUCAAGCCAAUUUGUUGCUGCUCUUCUAUAACUAUAAACCAAAAAUGGUGUUAUAUGCCAUAACUAGAUGAUAGAUCCUGAUAGGAUCUAUGAUUCAAAGAAUGAAACAAUAAAAAUAUAUAUUUUCAUACUA
Molecule: long non-coding RNA, 682 nt
Organism: Drosophila santomea
Lineage: Eukaryota; Metazoa; Arthropoda; Insecta; Diptera; Drosophilidae
Exons: 2
Source: RefSeq, a predicted model, not a curated record